Molecule: ribosomal RNA, 229 nt
Filed under: uncultured bacterium
Lineage: Bacteria
Description: partial 16S ribosomal RNA
Rfam family: Bacterial small subunit ribosomal RNA
Source: RNAcentral
UAGUGGCGUACGGGUGAGUAACACGUGAAUCAUCUACCUUCGAGUGGGGAAUAACCAAAGGAAACUUUGGCUAAUACCGCAUAAUACCUACGGGUCAAAGUGAGCAAUUGCGCUUGAAGAGGAGUUCGCGGCAGAUUAGUUAGUUGGCGGGGUAAUGGCCCACCAAGACGAUGAUCUGUAUCCGGCCUGAGAGGGCGCACGGACACACUGGAACUGAAACACGGUCCAG